UACGGAGGGAGCUAGCGUUGUUCGGAAUUACUGGGCGUAAAGCGCACGUAGGCGGCUUUGUAAGUUAGAGGUGAAAGCCCGGGGCUCAACUCCGGAACUGCCUUUAAGACUGCAUCGCUUGAAUCCAGGAGAGGUGAGUGGAAUUCCGAGUGUAGAGGUGAAAUUCGUAGAUAUUCGGAAGAACACCAGUGGCGAAGGCGGCUCACUGGCCUGGUAUUGACGCUGAGGUGCGAAAGCGUGGGGAGCAAACAGG
Molecule: ribosomal RNA, 253 nt
Filed under: uncultured bacterium
Lineage: Bacteria
Description: partial 16S ribosomal RNA
Rfam family: Bacterial small subunit ribosomal RNA
Source: RNAcentral